This 1753-nucleotide long non-coding RNA is filed under the name Salmo salar (Atlantic salmon). RNAcentral describes it as "lncRNA (ENSSSAG00000117612.1)". The record is from RNAcentral. Lineage: Eukaryota; Metazoa; Chordata; Actinopteri; Salmoniformes; Salmonidae.
ACAGCAUCGUAAACACCACCUUAGCAGGCCCAAUGUUGUAGCAAUUUUUGUAUCACACUCUAACAACCUGCCUUGCCACAUGACUCAACCCUGUUGCCUCAAGCGGUGAGACAUCUCAGCCGUGAAACCAUGCAGGUUGAGGUGACAAAUGUGUCACGUGCUUCAUGCUCCUUGCCACGGCAGACUUCGUUUCUGCAUCUGAUUUGGUUAGCUUUGACUUAAUUCAAAGGCAAAACUAUCAUUUACCCUGAAACUGUCACUUUUGGGAAAAACUGUGGUUGGGGUAUCUCACUAGUUGAUGCUCCCUGACUCAGAGUGACAGUUACAAGUUCUCCGCCACUCUCUCUUGCCUUUACAGCCUUGUAAGCAUGCAGCCAAUAUCUCCCUGUAUGUCACCAGGUGUACUUGGAGACUUUUUGACUCUUUGGAAAGGUUCCUAAAAUGUAGUUCACCGUGUGAUAAUGUUUGCAGUUCGAUAGUUUUCAAAGUGAAUAAAUAUAGCUCAACUUCAGUGAACUCAAAGACAUCGCUACAUAUCCCAGAAGAGUUGAAGAUGGAGGUCAUAUUGAGUUGGUAAUUGGAAAGCUCCAUGUACAUGAGCUUGAGUAUAUGACUUCCAUAAUGACUCCCUGAAAUUCCAACCAUAUGAAUGGUUGAUUUAAUUACAUGAUUAUGUGCGAUGGUGUGUAAAAGCAGGAGGUGUCACCACGUCAGGGUGAAUUACACUUGAAUAAGUCUGACUUGAAGUAGGAUUAACGGAUGACUGACAGGUGCUACAUACAGGGAGGAAAAGGAGAAUGAGGAGAGGAGGAAGAGAUUGAUGAAGAGAAGGAGGAGGAGAGGGAGGAUGAAGAGGAGGAAGUGGAGAAGGAGGAUUUAGAGGAGAGGUCGAAGGUGAGGAGGAUGAAGAGGAGGAAGAGGAGAUGAGGAAGAGAAGGAUGAAGAGGAGGGGAGGAUGAAGUGAAGGAGGAAGAAGAGGUGAGGAGGAUGAAGGGGAGAAGGAGGAAGAAAAGGAGGAUGAAGAGGAGGAGGAAGAAGAGGAGGAGGAAGAAGAGAAGGAGGAUGAAGAGGAGAAGGAGGAUGAAGAAGAGGAGAAGGAGGAUGAAGAAGAGGAGAAGGAGGAUGAAGAAGAGGAGAAGGAGGAUGAAGAAGAGGAGAAGAAGGAUGAAGAAGAGGAGAAGGAGGAUGAAGAAGAGGAGAAGGAGGAUGAAGAAGAGGAGAAGGAGGAUGAAGAGGAGGACAAAUAGGAGGUUGAAGAGGUGAGGAGGAUGAAGAGGAGGAGGAUGAAGAGGAGGACUAAAAAGUACCCCAGGAGUGACAGUGCUCAUAGUUAUCUAUUUAUAAAGAGCGGGACUGUAGCGGUAAACAUGGCAGGCGUCUGCUCUGCAACCACAGCGACUUUCUAUGGUGAUCCAAACACACUGAACUGGACACACACACACACACACACACACCAAACAUCAUCCCCAGCACGGCAACAUUCCCCACAGCACAGAGAAUGAUUGUGGCCUACACGUUCCACAGUGAUUAGGAUGAGCCCCACAAAGAGUCCCAGGGUGCCUUGCGCUCCACCUUAACAGGCUAUAGCUUAACAUGCCUCUGACAAGCAGGCACCUUCGUAACAAAGUCCUCGCAUCUGAUUUUAGCAGCAGUGAACUUGUGGCCAAAAGCCAAGACGUGAGCCGCGCCGGAGCUGCUAGUAGCAGCCAGUACUAAAUAUGAGAAGUAAGCAAAUGAUUAAGUUGAGUAUAGU